GAUGAACGCUGGCGGCGUGCCUAAUACAUGCAAGUCGAGCGGACGGACGAGAAGCUUGCUUCUCUGAUGUUAGCGGCGGACGGGUGAGUAACACGUGGAUAACCUACCUAUAAGAGUGGGAUAACUUCGGGAAACCGGAGCUAAUAGCGGAUAAUAUUUUGAACCGCAUGGUUCAAAAGUGAAAGACGGUCUUGCUGUCACUUAUAGAUGAAUCCGCGCUGCAUUAGCUAGUUGGUAAGGUAACGGCUUAUCAAGGCAACUAUGCAUAGCCGACCUGAGAGGGUGAUCGGCCACACUGGAACGGAGCCACGGUCCAUACUCCUACGGGAGGCAGCAGUAGGGAAUCUUCCGCAAUGGGCGGAAGCCUGACGGAACAAGGCCGCGUGAGUGAUGAAGGUCUUCGGAUCGUAAAACUCUGUUAUUAGGUAAGAACAGAUGUGUAAGUAACUGUGCACAUCUUGACGGUACCUAAUCAGAAAGCCACGGCUAACUACGUG
Molecule: ribosomal RNA, 497 nt
Filed under: uncultured bacterium
Lineage: Bacteria
Description: partial 16S ribosomal RNA
Rfam family: Bacterial small subunit ribosomal RNA
Source: RNAcentral